UAGGGAAUCUUCGGCAAUGGACGAAAGUCUGACCGAGCAACGCCGCGUGAGUGAAGAAGGUUUUCGGAUCGUAAAACUCUGUUGUUAGAGAAGAACAAGGAUGAGAGUAGAAUGUUCAUCCCUUGACGGUAUCUAACCAGAAAGCCACGGCUAACUACGUGCCAGCAGCCGCGGUAAUACGUAGGUGGCAAGCGUUGUCCGGAUUUAUUGGGCGUAAAGCGAGCGCAGGCGGUUUCUUAAGUCUGAUGUGAAAGCCCCCGGCUCAACCGGGGAGGGUCAUUGGAAACUGGGAAACUUGAGUGCAGAAGAGGAGGGUGGAAUUCCAUGUGUAGCCGUGAAAUGCGUAGAUAUAUGGAGGAACACCAGUGGCGAAGGCGGCACUCUGGUCUGUAACUGACGCUGAGGCUCGAAAGCGUGGGGAGCAAACAGG
RNAcentral lists this ribosomal RNA (430 nucleotides) under Fusobacteriota bacterium. Its description in RNAcentral is "Fusobacteria bacterium partial 16S ribosomal RNA". It matches the Rfam family "Bacterial small subunit ribosomal RNA", at positions 355 to 776 of the family's 1533-position model. Lineage: Bacteria; Fusobacteriati; Fusobacteriota. The record is from RNAcentral.